This 465-nucleotide ribosomal RNA is filed under the name Vreelandella stevensii. Its description in RNAcentral is "partial 16S ribosomal RNA". It matches the Rfam family "Bacterial small subunit ribosomal RNA", at positions 338 to 795 of the family's 1533-position model. The record is from RNAcentral. Lineage: Bacteria; Pseudomonadati; Pseudomonadota; Gammaproteobacteria; Oceanospirillales; Halomonadaceae.
CCUACGGGGGGCUGCAGUGGGGAAUAUUGGACAAUGGGGGGAACCCUGAUCCAGCCAUGCCGCGUGUGUGAAGAAGGCCCUCGGGUUGUAAAGCACUUUCAGUGAGGAAGAACGCCUGGUGGUUAAUACCCAUCAGGAAAGACAUCACUCACAGAAGAAGCACCGGCUAACUCCGUGCCAGCAGCCGCGGUAAUACGGAGGGUGCGAGCGUUAAUCGGAAUUACUGGGCGUAAAGCGCGCGUAGGUGACUUGAUAAGCCGGUUGUGAAAGCCCCGGGCUCAACCUGGGAACGGCAUCCGGAACUGUCAAGCUAGAGUGCAGGAGAGGAAGGUAGAAGUCCCGGUGUAGCGGUGAAAUGCGUAGAGAUCGGGAGGAAUACCAGUGGCGAAGGCGGCCUUCUGGACUGACACUGACACUGAGGUGCGAAAGCGUGGGUAGCAAACAGGAUUAGAUACCCCUGUAGUC